Molecule: ribosomal RNA, 253 nt
Filed under: uncultured bacterium
Lineage: Bacteria
Description: partial 16S ribosomal RNA
Rfam family: Bacterial small subunit ribosomal RNA
Source: RNAcentral
UACGUAGGGUCCGAGCGUUGUCCGGAGUUACUGGGCGUAAAGCGCGCGCAGGUGGUUCACUAAGCCCGGCGUGAAAGCCCCCGGCUCAACCGGGGAGGGUCGUCGGGGACUGGUGAACUUGAGGGCGGCAGGGGCUGGUGGAAUCCCCGGUGUAGUGGUGAAAUGCGUAGAGAUCGGGGGGAACACCCGUGGCGAAGGCGGCCAGCUGGGCCGUCCCUGACACUGAGGCGCGAAGGCGUGGGGAGCGAACGGG